AGAACGAACGCUGGCGGCAGGCCUCAAACAUGCAAGUCUAGGGGGGUGUAGCAAUACAUCACCGGCGGACGGGUGCGUAACGCGUGGGAAUAUACCUAUUGGUUCGGAACAACUGAGGGAAACUUCAGCUAAUACCGGAUAAGCCCUUACGGGGAAAGAUUUCUCGCCAAUAGAUUAGCCCGCGUCCGAUUAGCUAGUUGGUGGGGUAAAAGCCUACCAAGGCGACGAUCGGUAGCUGUUCUGAGAGGAAGAUCAGCCACACUGGGACUGAGACACGGCCCAGACUCCUACGGGAGGCAGCAGUUGGGAAUCUUGGACAAUGGGGAAACCCUGAUCCAGCCAUGCCGCGUGAGUGAUGAAGGCCUUCGGGUUGUAAAACUCUUUCGACGGGGACGAUAAUGACGGUACCCGUAGAAGAGCUCCGGCUAACUUCGUGCCAGCAGCCGC
This 447-nucleotide ribosomal RNA is filed under the name uncultured bacterium. RNAcentral's name for it is "SSU rRNA". It matches the Rfam family "Bacterial small subunit ribosomal RNA", at positions 26 to 518 of the family's 1533-position model. The record is from RNAcentral.